ACACCACGGUGUGUGAUGUUCCCCUUCCUGUGUCCAUGUGAUGUCAAGCAUUUCUAAUUCACCAUAGAGUUGUCAUGAAACCCAAGCCAAACAGCUCUCUGUCCUGAAUAUAGACUUGAAAACCAUGGGCCAAAGCACAUCCCUGGUGUGUUACAUCUCCUCACUCCCCUUCUGUUGAGUGCGAGAGCAAUGAAUGGUGAAAGCAUUCGCUG
Molecule: long non-coding RNA, 212 nt
Filed under: Homo sapiens (human)
Lineage: Eukaryota; Metazoa; Chordata; Mammalia; Primates; Hominidae
Description: non-protein coding lnc-CMPK2-29:1
Source: RNAcentral